This is a long non-coding RNA of Photinus pyralis (common eastern firefly), 636 nucleotides long. RefSeq lists it as uncharacterized. NCBI's taxonomy places the organism in Eukaryota, Metazoa, Arthropoda, Insecta, Coleoptera, Lampyridae. The record is from RefSeq and is a predicted model, not a curated record. The transcript is spliced from 3 exons.
UAGAUUCGUGUAUGGAAAAUUCCAAACAAAGCAGGAUAUGGGAUGAUUACACACCAUCUAUGCUACAAUCACCACGGGCUCCACAGCUGGUAAUUAGUGAGGAUCAGCAUGUAACGCCGAUGGAAUCCGAAACUGCAGAACGAAUAAAUGGUGCAGCUUUUGCACAAAAUAGUGCACCUGUAGAGAAUCGCAGUGCAUCUCAUUCAAAUGGUAAAAAAGCAGUCAGUGAUUUCAAACGUAAACGCCCCGUGACAGGCACAGUCACUAACGAAAAAUGGUCUCGACUUGCUGAUAGCAAAGAAGAAUUGGUUCGACUCCAAAUCGAAGGCUUGAAAAAGGAACAAGCAUUGAACAAAAAAAAACUGGAAUUAGAAAUAGAGGAAAAAGCAGUUAGAUUGGAAAUUUCGAAACUGGAAUUAAAGCUAUUACAAAAACGACUCGCUAAAUAAUAUUAUUUGUAUAUAUUUAUAUUGUACCAGUAAACAUUGUUUUAAACUUAUAAAUACUUAUUAAAUACUCCCAAUUAUUGCAUAUGUGCAAAAUGAUUGUUUAUUAUGUUUAAUCUUGUGAUAUUAUUUUGCAUAUUUCGAUUCCCUGGAUGUUGUUGUACAGGAAUGUCAUUAACGGCUACUACAC